UAGGGAAUCUUCGGCAAUGGACGAAAGUCUGACCGAGCAACGCCGCGUGAGUGAAGAAGGUUUUCGGAUCGUAAAACUCUGUUGUUAGAGAAGAACAAGGACGUUAGUAACUGAACGUCCCCUGACGGUAUCUAACCAGAAAGCCACGGCUAACUACGUGCCAGCAGCCGCGGUAAUACGUAGGAGGCAAGCGUUGUCCGGAUUUAUUGUGCGUAAAGCGAGCGCAGGCGGUUUCUUAAGUCUGAUGUGAAAGCCCCCGGCUCAACCGGGGAGGGUCAUUGGAAACUGUGAGACUCGAGUGCAGAAGAAGAGAGUGGAAUUCCAUGUGUAGCGGUGAAAUGCGUAGAUAUAUGGAGGAACACCAGUGGCGAAGGCGGCUCUCUGGUCUGUAACUGACGCUGAGGCUCGAAAGCGUGGGGAGCAAACAGG
RNAcentral lists this ribosomal RNA (429 nucleotides) under Gemmatimonadota bacterium. Its description in RNAcentral is "Gemmatimonadetes bacterium partial 16S ribosomal RNA". It matches the Rfam family "Bacterial small subunit ribosomal RNA", at positions 355 to 776 of the family's 1533-position model. The record is from RNAcentral. Lineage: Bacteria; Pseudomonadati; Gemmatimonadota.